Molecule: transfer RNA, 65 nt
Filed under: Aporia hippia
Lineage: Eukaryota; Metazoa; Arthropoda; Insecta; Lepidoptera; Pieridae
Description: tRNA-Val
Source: RNAcentral
ACAAAUUAGAGCUUGUUAAGUAUUUCAUUUACAUUGAAAAGAAAUUAUUAAUUUUAAUUAAUUUG